RNAcentral lists this ribosomal RNA (767 nucleotides) under uncultured bacterium. RNAcentral's name for it is "bacterial SSU rRNA". It matches the Rfam family "Bacterial small subunit ribosomal RNA", at positions 94 to 874 of the family's 1533-position model. The record is from RNAcentral.
AGUGGUGAACGGGUGAGUAACACGUGGGUAAUCUGCCCUGCACUCUGGGAUAAGCCUGGGAAACUGGGUCUAAUACUGGAUAUGACCUUUCUCCUUAUGGGGUUUGGUGGAAAGUUUUUCGGUGUAGGAUGAGCCCGCGGCCUAUCAGCUUGUUGGUGGGGUGAUGGCCUACCAAGGCGACGACGGGUAGCCGGCCUGAGAGGGUGAUCGGCCACAUUGGGACUGAGAUACGGCCCAGACUCCUACGGGAGGCAGCAGUGGGGAAUAUUGCACAAUGGGCGGAAGCCUGAUGCAGCGACGCCGCGUGAGGGAUGACGGCCUUCGGGUUGUAAACCUCUUUCAGCAGGGACGAAGCGUAAGUGACGGUACCUGCAGAAGAAGCACCGGCUAACUACGUGCCAGCAGCCGCGGUAAUACGUAGGGUGCGAGCGUUGUCCGGAAUUACUGGGCGUAAAGAGCUCGUAGGCGGUUUGUCACGUCGUCUGUGAAAUCCUAGGGCUUAACCCUGGACGUGCAGGCGAUACGGGCUGACUUGAGUACUACAGGGGAGACUGGAAUUUCUGGUGUAGCGGUGGAAUGCACAGAUAUCAGGAAGAACACCGAUGGCGAAGGCAGGUCUCUGGGUAGUAACUGACGCUGAGGAGCGAAAGCAUGGGUAGCGAACAGGAUUAGAUACCCUGGUAGUCCAUGCCGUANACGGUGGGCGCUAGGUGUGGGGUUCCUUCCACGGGCUCCGCGCCGUAGCUAACGCAUUAAGCGCCCCGCCU